Molecule: ribosomal RNA, 1489 nt
Filed under: uncultured bacterium
Lineage: Bacteria
Description: bacterial SSU rRNA
Rfam family: Bacterial small subunit ribosomal RNA
Source: RNAcentral
AGAGUUUGAUCCUGGCUCAGGAUGAACGCUAGCUACAGGCUUAACACAUGCAAGUCGAGGGGCAGCAUGGUCUUAGCUUGCUAAGGCCGAUGGCGUCCGGCGCACGGGUGAGUAACACGUAUCCAACCUGCCGUCUACUCUUGGACAGCCUUCUGAAAGGAAGAUUAAUACAAGAUGGCAUCAUGAGUCCGCAUGUUCACAUGAUUAAAGGUAUUCCGGUAGACGAUGGGGAUGCGUUCCAUUAGAUAGUAGGCGGGGUAACGGCCCACCUAGUCUUCGAUGGAUAGGGGUUCUGAGAGGAAGGUCCCCCACAUUGGAACUGAGACACGGUCCAAACUCCUACGGGAGGCAGCAGUGAGGAAUAUUGGUCAAUGGGCGAGAGCCUGAACCAGCCAAGUAGCGUGAAGGAUGACUGCCCUAUGGGUUGUAAACUUCUUUUAUAAAGGAAUAAAGUCGGGUAUGCAUACCCGUUUGCAUGUACUUUAUGAAUAAGGAUCGGCUAACUCCGUGCCAGCAGCCGCGGUAAUACGGAGGAUCCGAGCGUUAUCCGGAUUUAUUGGGUUUAAAGGGAGCGUAGAUGGAUGUUUAAGUCAGUUGUGAAAGUUUGCGGCUCAACCGUAAAAUUGCAGUUGAUACUGGAUGUCUUGAGUGCAGUUGAGGCAGGCGGAAUUCGUGGUGUAGCGGUGAAAUGCUUAGAUAUCACGAAGAACUCCGAUUGCGAAGGCAGCCUGCUAAGCUGCAACUGACAUUGAGGCUCGAAAGUGUGGGUAUCAAACAGGAUUAGAUACCCUGGUAGUCCACACGGUAAACGAUGAAUACUCGCUGUUUGCGAUAUACUGCAAGCGGCCAAGCGAAAGCGUUAAGUAUUCCACCUGGGGAGUACGCCGGCAACGGUGAAACUCAAAGGAAUUGACGGGGGCCCGCACAAGCGGAGGAACAUGUGGUUUAAUUCGAUGAUACGCGAGGAACCUUACCCGGGCUUAAAUUGCAGAUGAAUUACGGUGAAAGCCGUAAGCCGCAAGGCAUCUGUGAAGGUGCUGCAUGGUUGUCGUCAGCUCGUGCCGUGAGGUGUCGGCUUAAGUGCCAUAACGAGCGCAACCCUUGUUGUCAGUUACUAACAGGUUCUGCUGAGGACUCUGACAAGACUGCCAUCGUAAGAUGUGAGGAAGGUGGGGAUGACGUCAAAUCAGCACGGCCCUUACGUCCGGGGCUACACACGUGUUACAAUGGGGGGUACAGAGGGCCGCUACCACGCGAGUGGAUGCCAAUCCCAAAAACCUCUCUCAGUUCGGACUGGAGUCUGCAACCCGACUCCACGAAGCUGGAUUCGCUAGUAAUCGCGCAUCAGCCACGGCGCGGUGAAUACGUUCCCGGGCCUUGUACACACCGCCCGUCAAGCCAUGGGAGCCGGGGGUACCUGAAGUGCGUAACCGCGAGGAGCGCCCUAGGGUAAAACUGGUGACUGGGGCUAAGUCGUAACAAGGUAGCC